Long non-coding RNA from Sapajus apella (tufted capuchin), 866 nucleotides. RefSeq lists it as uncharacterized. The record is from RefSeq and is a predicted model, not a curated record. Lineage: Eukaryota; Metazoa; Chordata; Mammalia; Primates; Cebidae. The transcript is spliced from 2 exons.
CAAGGUCGUGCUCCUUUUCAUACCUGCAGACCUGUGGCGCCUUCUGAGGGAGCAGGGCUUACGCCACGCAAGCGCCGCGGGUGCGUGACGUCAUCUGAGAGCGCCACACGCCGUCCCGAAACCCUGAGCACCGUCUGGCUACAGGCGUUGCUGUAGAGACGGUGCGCCGAGUCCCGCCCCCGAGGCGGGAUAGGAGGAGAACCGGUCAGCUGACAAGGAUGACGUUUCGAAAGCGCGCGGGAGGUCCCGCUGAAACGCAGAGCCCAGGAAGCAAUUUGAGGGGCGUCUUGACCGAAGAAUCCAGUCUCCACUGACACCAUCUUAGAGCAAGCCCCCAUCUGUCACCUGGAUUACCGUAAUUGCCUAACUGGUCCCCCUUCUUCCACCCCUACCCCGUUAAGUCUAUGUUUACAUAACAACCUCGGUAAUUCUGUUAAAAGUUAUAUCAUGUGGCACCUCUGUGCAAAAACUAUCAGGCCUCGUGUCUCAGAGUAAAAGCCAAAGCUUUACCAGGGCUAGAACUGUUCCACACCACCAGGCCUCCAUUCUAGAGCUCUCCAUUCUUGUCUCCCUUGCUCACUUAACAGCAGCCACAUUAGCCGUUUUGCCAAGCUUGCUUCUACCUCUGGAACUCUAAACUUGCCUUUACGUCUGCAUGGAACGUGUCCUCAUUUAUCCCCAGGGCUCCCUCCCUUACCUCCCCCAAGACUUGGUUCAGAUGUUCCCCACUGACAAAGGCCUUCAUCAACCUCCUGGUUUGAAAUUGCAAAUCAGACUCCGGCAAGCCUGCAUUCCCACAUUCCCAUUCCCUUCCCUUUUGGUCCAUUGCAUUUAGUUUAUCACCUUCUAAUAACCCGUUUAAUUGA